This 587-nucleotide ribosomal RNA is filed under the name uncultured bacterium. RNAcentral's name for it is "bacterial SSU rRNA". It matches the Rfam family "Bacterial small subunit ribosomal RNA", at positions 102 to 685 of the family's 1533-position model. The record is from RNAcentral.
ACGGGUGAGUAAUGCUUAGGAAUCUGCCUAUUAGUGGGGGACAACAUCUCGAAAGGGAUGCUAAUACCGCAUACGUCCUACGGGAGAAAGCAGGGGACCUUCGGCCUUGCGCUAAUAGAUGAGCCUAAGUCGGAUUAGCUAGUUGGUGGGGUAAAGGCCUACCAAGGCGACGAUCUGUAGCGGGUCUGAGAGGAUGAUCCGCCACACUGGGACUGAGACACGGCCCAGACUCCUACGGGAGGCAGCAGUGGGGAAUAUUGGACAAUGGGGGGAACCCUGAUCCAGCCAUACCGCGUGUGUGAAGAAGGCCUUUUGGUUGUAAAGCACUUUAAGCGAGGAGGAGGCUACCGAGAUUAAUACUCUUGGAUAGUGGACGUUACUCGCAGAAUAAGCACCGGCUAACUCUGUGCCAGCAGCCGCGGUAAUACAGAGGGUGCAAGCGUUAAUCGGAUUUACUGGGCGUAAAGCGCGCGUAGGUGGCCAAUUAAGUCAAAUGUGAAAUCCCCGAGCUUAACUUGGGAAUUGCAUUCGAUACUGGUUGGCUAGAGUAUGGGAGAGGAUGGUAGAAUUCCAGGUGUAGCGGUGAA